CAAGGACGAGCUCUGUCUCCACUUCUGCAAAUAGCGACAAGUCUGAAAGUAUACCUUCUGUGAGAAGGAGACUAGUGUGGGGGAUUAGACAGCAUCAGAACUUUCCGGAACGAUAUCUAAAAUUUGGAGUUUUGAGCUCAGACUUUGAGGGAAGCACAAAUCCACGGCUGCUCGCUAGAGGAUAAGCCCCCCUGCGCUCAAACUUAAUGAGCACGAGUAAGCCCAUUCCUGCAGCUCCACGCAAGAGAAACGAUCAUGAAGUGUGCUGAAGAAUGACAGAGACAAAGCGAGAGAGACUGGAAGAAAGGACAAGCCAGAGAGUGCAAAAGCGAGAGAGGUUGUCUGCCAAAGGGAGACUCUUUAAUUCGGUCUCUGUUGAGGAGUGGGUCGAGUGGAACGCUGGCCUGUCUGUCACUGCGAGGCUCCAGUGACCGUCUGACAGAUCACAGCACAGCGCCGCAUCAGGGGGGCCAGUAAAUUGGCCCGGGGGGCCUCCCUAGUCUCCUUUCUCCAGCUGAAUCUGCAGAGGCGAGGCUGAUGGGUAGUGUGGUACACAGGAGGCUAUUUAUGAGACAUAUUUGUCCAUGGCAGCAUUUUCAGCAAAAGCGGUUUACAUGUGUUCGGGGUUGUCGGGGGGAGCGAGGCACCCUGGAAGGAAUACAGGAUGGGCUGAGUAGGUGGAGUAGGUGGGCACAAGGGGUGGGAGUACAUUAGUCCGUGAGGCCACAGCUCAGCGGGAGACCAGUCCAGACAUCAGUGGAGUAAAGUCAUCACAUCACAGUGUUUUGGUCAGGUGGCGUCCUUUCUUUCACUGUGUCCCCAGUGGGGCCUCUGUCACUAGAAAAGCCCUGUUAUUUUGUUGUAUGACGUCCCCUUAAGCGAGAUUUCACAGACUGUCCCUGAGUAUCGACAACAGACCUCUGUCUAGCCCGGAUGCUAUCCCGCAGGUAAUCCCAUAUUGUUUUUCUUCUGAGCUUGAUGCACACAGAUGCUAAAAAAAAAAACCCUCGAAGAAUGUGCGUAAUUAAAAGUACAUGUGAUCAUGUGGUCCUGCAAACUGUGUUGUUGUUUUUUUCACUUGCCUCUGGCCGCACUUCAUCCCGCUAGAUUUUCAGCUGCUGGUUGGUCGCAGCCAAUUCAGCAUGUAUCUGCUUGCGGCCACAACAGGAUUCCAGUAACACCACAUCUCAGAUCAAUAGAGACAUCCAUAAGACACAAGCUGACAAUAACAUGACUGGUAGCAGCACUGUUCAGCAUGGUGGGGGGAAAAAACAACAACAGCAACUGGAUGAACAUAAAUAAAACAGAGGCUCCCUUCUGCAUAGACUGAUUUGUAAUUAUGUCGAAAACAAA
Long non-coding RNA from Cyprinus carpio carpio, 1353 nucleotides. Lineage: Eukaryota; Metazoa; Chordata; Actinopteri; Cypriniformes; Cyprinidae. The record is from Ensembl.